This is a small nucleolar RNA of Artibeus jamaicensis (Jamaican fruit-eating bat), 100 nucleotides long. RefSeq annotates it as small nucleolar RNA SNORA5. The transcript has a single exon. The record is from RefSeq and is a predicted model, not a curated record. Lineage: Eukaryota; Metazoa; Chordata; Mammalia; Chiroptera; Phyllostomidae.
CGCAGCCCUGCCAGGGCAGGCACGAGCGUAGCUGCCAUCGAAGCACUGUACUCAUUGGCCCUCUGCUGGGCCUCGGGGGUAAAUUUGGUUACAGACACCA